GGAAUUUUGGACAAUGGGCGCAAGCCUGAUCCAGCAAUGCCGCGUGAGUGAAGAAGGCCUUCGGGUUGUAAAGCUCUUUUGUCAGGGAAGAAACGGUGUUUUCUAAUACAGAACGCUAAUGACGGUACCUGAAGAAUAAGCACCGGCUAACUACGUGCCAGCAGCCGCGGUAAUACGUAGGGUGCAAGCGUUAAUCGGAAUUACUGGGCGUAAAGCGUGCGCAGGCGGUUUUGUAAGACUGUCGUGAAAUCCCCGGGCUCAACCUGGGAAUGGCGAUGGUGACUGCAAGGCUAGAGUUUGGCAGAGGGGGGUAGAAUUCCACGUGUAGCAGUGAAAUGCGUAGAUAUGUGGAGGAACACCGAUGGCGAAGGCAGCCCCCUGGGUCAAAACUGACGCUCAUGCACGAAAGCAUGGGGAGCGAACAGGAUUAGAUACCCGGG
RNAcentral lists this ribosomal RNA (440 nucleotides) under uncultured Duganella sp. RNAcentral describes it as "bacterial SSU rRNA". It matches the Rfam family "Bacterial small subunit ribosomal RNA", at positions 358 to 790 of the family's 1533-position model. Lineage: Bacteria; Pseudomonadati; Pseudomonadota; Betaproteobacteria; Burkholderiales; Oxalobacteraceae. The record is from RNAcentral.